UUUUUUUAAGAUUCAUAAUAUACAUGGUAAAAAUAUGCUCCAAUUAACCCAUAUCAUGAGAUUUGUAGCAUUACUCUAUUACACAAUGGCAAAAAUUUGUAGUCCUAGUCUAAGCAAACACAAAUCUGGUGAACAGUACUGUUUUUCUUAUCCUGCUUCUUAGUCCGAGACUGCACCAAACGCUUCACUAAGUUAGUCCAGCUUAGUCCAGUCUAAGCCAGUCCAGCUUAGUCCCGGCAGCUAGUCCAGUCCAAGACAGUCCGGCGCAACAAACGCACCCUUAGGAUCUCUAUCAAUAUUGAUCAAAGGAAAGCAACUCAAUUCACGUUACGCACAUUGUUGCUACUUAAAACAUUGUCUAGGAUUCAAUGUGACAUCCAGAAAACUUAGUACUACAAUGCUAAACUUAAAGGGAAAAGUACAGAUAGUUGCCAGAUUCGGCCAUUUAGUGUCCGAACUCCGUAUCGGUAAGUCCGUACCGAUACUUUGACGGUUCGGUUGUGAAUUCGGUGUCUCUAACCAGAUUAGACAAAACUUGAACAAAGAACUGAAAAAGGGCAUCCGGGUCACCGUAAAAUUCGCCGAUGUCAUCCUUGUAGUUGUUGGGGAGACUUUCUAAAGAACAGAGGUGACUUGCUCACCCCCCACAAGAAGAGCAUCAUACUGGGCAAGUUCCUAUUCGUCCUUGUGUUUGUCGGUGAAGGAGAAAGAGGAGAGGUCGGGGAAAGAGAAGAAAGGGGAGAGAGAGGAGGGAGGGACAGAGAACUGGAAUGCGACAGUGGGAAUCAAGAAGAAAUAACAAAGGGAAAGGAAAGGAAACGUCUACAAAUAAAUUAAUUAUUUGUUUAAUGAAUAUUUUAUAAACAAUAUUAAAGAGAUAAAUGAUAAUUACGUGAAGAAAUAACCAAGGGAAAUGAUAAGUCUUUGGUAUCCGAGUCAUAAUAAGUAAUAUUAUAAAAUAUAAUUAUAAAUGUAUUAUUAUCAAUAUUUUUAUAUACAAACUAAUUUACAUUCUUUAACCAAUUUAAAACGAAUCGAACUGAAAACCGUACCGUCUAUGCCUACUCUCUGACGAAUGAUACUUUAUGUUACUACCGAAUCUUGUAUUCGAACCGAAGUGCGAACUCGAAUCAUACCCGUAUCUAGCAACCAUACAGAAGAAUCAAAACCGUUAUAAUUCCUUACAUGAUACUGAAUGUCAGUUAGUUAGAAGAGCCCAAGAAGCAAUUGUCCUUGCUGCUAGCAAUCGGUGUCUCCGGGAUAAACACCAAAUUAGAUGGAAACCCAAAAGUGAACAUUGAUGGGGCCAUCCAGUUGUCAUUCUAGAGGCGGUCUAGCGGCUCACCACUAAAUAACAUUGCCAACAUUCAUUUCUUUUUGUAUUUCAUUUUGUUACGUUUCCGAUGUGGGAUUUUAACAUUCUCCAGCCCAAUAGCAUCAAUCAACACAAUACCACAAACCCAACACUGUGCAUAAAAGAACAAAAAUUGAUGACUGAUUACAAAUUUACAUGAGGGCAGUAAAAACUAACAAUGCAGGUUGAUUUCCACAUUGUUGGUAUCAUAAAUAUUCUCAUUAGACACUUGUGUACCACUUAAAGCACGAAUUAAUGUCUUUCUUGUAUCACCCACUCUCUUGCUAGUCCUAGUUUUUUUGCGCAUUGCAGUUACAAAUUAACAUUGCCAAGCAAUAAACUGAUAAAGGGAAGGGGGAAAAUACAACCAAGCCACCUAUAGACCAACCAAGCAAAACCAGAUACAAACAAAUAUACAAAUAAGCAAACUUCAAAAGAUACAAUAGCAAAAAACCAAACACAGACAACCACAAUCUAAGACUCUUUUAAUGACAGAAAAGAAAACUGACCUUUUGUGUGGAGGCAAUGAGAAAAUAUAGAGAAGCAGACCACCUAUUUGAAAAGGUAAAAACAAAAGACUAAAAUCAAACAAUGAUAUAUCAGUCUCCAAAAUAAAUGUACAAUAUCUUUCAAAUUGGAUGACAAAUUUACAUGCAAUAAGUCACAUUAUCCUUCCAUCAACUAAUGUACAUCCUAUAUUAGACCACACAACACAUGCACCCUAAUCACUUCAUUGGUGCUCUGCCUUAUUUGCAAAUAUAGUUUUAUCUCCACUGAGUUUCUACAUGUUUCAACUAAUUCCUGGAAUAUCAUAUCUGUAAUAUCAAACUAUAACAGUUGGAUUUUACUGGUAAAUAAAACAGUUGUAUAAUGAACAAACAAUGAAAGAAGAAAGCCAAAUAAUGACAAUGAAAAGAAGAGAAUUCAAACAUAUUGAGAAUAUUAGUUUCAGAUUUUGAGGACAUAUUUAUUCCAUUACCUUCUACCCUCCAUCUCCCUUUGAGCAACAGACAAUAGUCAUUAAAUUUCAUCUUAUGGCGUGUGUGUUGUGAGCUUGGUGAAGCCAUGUGACCCUAAUUUCUUUUUUUCUUUUUUCUUUUUUUUUUUGAAAAAAUUAUACAAAUGGUACAGUUUCAACUGUACAUGUUUAACCUCGGUGUUUUUCAAUUUCAGUUUUACUUCUACCAUCCAUUAAUUUUCCUAUCCAAAAUGCUUUGAAAAAUAAAUCCAUAGCUACUAACUGUCUAUAUUCUUGAUGUUGUCAGACCCUGCAAUCUAAAAAUUCAUGUAAAUGCAGAGGUUUGGCUGAAGGAGAGGGCAUCGAAGAAAUCCAGAAAUCCUUCCAUGGCAAACUUAGUUGUACACCCAUGGCGUGUGUGUUGUAUGCUAGAUGCCCUCUCUCUUUUAACAACACACAAUAGCUUAUGCAAAUGCAAAGAGACAUCAACAUGUUUCAUUUAAUAAAUUUACAUUUUGUAGCAAAUGCAUAUGGCGAAAUAGUCCAUAAGUAAUCAGACUAGCAACCAAACACAACAGUUCAAAAACUUCAAUGGAAAUAUAAAUUGCACAAAAAAAAUCUUGAAUUUCCAAACCCACAAAAUACAAAAUUCAACCAGAUUAUGUGUAAGAAGAAAUACCAAGAACUGAGAGCUGCAGGCUACCAAAAUGCUCAUGCUCUUGGUUGUGCUGAUGAACUAUAAACUUGAAAUUGAAAUUACAUAGGUAGAAGUUGAGAUUUUAAUAUGAGACAGAACAAUCCAAAUCAAGCUUACUGAGAGAGAGACCGUGAGAGGGCUGAGAGAUCGAGAGAGAGGCAGCUGCUAACUUUACCAAAAAAUUUGAAAACGAUGGAAUUUUUCAUAUGAAGAUAAGGCGCCUAAAAUGAAAUCAGGGCACGAAAAUAAAAUUAAAAUUUUUGGGGCAGGUUAAAAACUAAUCAUUGAUUAAUUAAGACAAAUGACUGAAAUUGUCAACUUUUCAAAUUACGUAUCCUUAGUAAAAAAAAGCACACACACCUUAAAAGGUUCAUUAUCUGUUCUGAAGCUAAUGCUUGGAACAAACUUCAGCCAAACUGGAAACCCCCUAAAGAAAAUAGAAACAUUCAAAAAGAAAUUCAUUGACGAAACAAAAAACUGCCGAGGAAAAUGAUCAUUCCCAAAAUUCCAUUAUGAACAAUUAUAUGGACCAAUCUUAAGAUGAAUAUAGAGCCCUGCCUUGUAAACCAUCUUUGAGCCAACCAAUUACACAAAUCUAAAUAAGAGAUGGCAGAAAAUGAAUAUGAAAAAAAAAAUGUGCGUAUGAUAUGAGUUAUGCAUCUUGCUUGAAUGCUAUCUAUCAAUGGUAAUUCCCAAAUCCAAACAAACACCAAAUCAAAACCACAAAGCCAAACAGGGCAACUACAUAUGUAUUAAAUUCACAUACAAUUAGAAAGAUCAAACUCAAACACUGAAACACUCAAGCAAUUUAGAUAAUGCUUGACAGAUGAAAUUCAAACACUAAAAUCACUCAAGCGAUUAAGUUAGAUGAUGAGAACUUCUCUAACCUUGUGGACAUAGCCUAAAUUACGGCGAACCAGGUUUAUCUCAGGCCUACUUCUCUAUCCUUAUCUUUUUACAUUAUCAACAUCACUUAAUGACCAGAGCACCCUCGCAUAGGUCACUUCACCACACUUUAUGUUGACUCAAGGUCCACCUGAUUUUGUGCAUCAACAAAUCUCAUUGGAUGUGUGGUCCUCACAUGGAAGCCAUGUUAGCACGUUAAUGGAAAUUUUAACAGACUUUAAUGGCAUGGGGAGAAGUGAGACAUAGUAGACACUUAAGGGGUUAAGUGAGAAAUUUUGAAUUGAGCAAACUGAGAGGAAAGUUGAGUUUCAGGGGUGUUGGAGUAAAGAAGCCAUUAGACAAAGAUAACUCGAGUGGUUAGGUAUUGACUAGACUUAUUAGUUGACCAAUUCAUAAAGAUAGUGGCAACGAGACUUUCUUUGAUGCUUCAGAAUACUCAAUACUCUGGUUAUUUUAAACAUUAGAUCUUUGCUUAAAAAUAUAAAAAUUAAGAUUUAACGGUUAAAACAUCUAAAGUACCCAAUACUCCAGCAUACCCAAAUUUAUUGUAGCGGUGAUAAGUGAUAACUACAGUGCAAUGAUGUUGAGCUUAUUAUUAUAAUGUUGAUAACUAUAGUGCAAUGAUUUGAGCUUAUUAUACACUGCAAAUUAAUACAACAACAACAACAAAGCCUUUUCCCACUAAGUGGGGUCGGCUAUAUGAAUCCUAGAACGCCAUUGCACUCGGUUUUGUGUCAUGUCCUCCGUUAGAUCCAAGUACUCUAAGUCUUUUCUUAGGGUAUUUUCCAAAGUUUUCCUAUGUCUUCCUCUACCCCUUCGGCCCUGAACCUCUGUCCCGUGGUCACAUCUUCGAACCGGAGCGUCAGUAGGCCUUCUUUGCACAUGUCCAAACCACCGUAACCGAUUUUCUCUCCUCUUUCCUUCAAUUUCGGCUACUCCUAUUUUACCUCGGAUAUCCUCAUUCCUAAUCUUAUCCUUUCUCGUGUGCCCACACAUCCAACGAAGCAUCCUCAUCUCCACUACACCUACGUGUUGACGCUUCACCGCCCAACAUUCUAUGCCAUACAGCAUUGCCGGCCUUAUUGCCGUCCUAUAAAAUUUUCCCUUGAGCUUCAGUGGCCUACGACGGUCACAUAACACGCCGGAUGCACUCUUCCACUUCAUCCAUCCAGCUUGUAUUCUAUGGUUGAGAUCUCCAUCAAAUUCUCCGUUCUUUUGCAAGAUAGAUCCUAGGUAGCGAAAACGGUCGCUCUUUGGUAUUUCCUGAUUUCCGAUCCUCAUCCCUAACUCAUUUUGGCCUCCAUUUGCACUGAACUUGCACUCCAUAUAUUCUGUCUUUGAUCGGCUUGGGCGAGGACCUUUAGAUUCCAACACUUCUCUCCAAAGGUUAAGCUUCGCGUUUACCCCUUCCUGCGUUUCAUCUAUCAACACUAUAUCGUUUGCGAAAAGCAUACACCAAAGAAUAUCAUCUUAAAUAUUAAGUUUGUGAUCUUCGCUAGAUUGCUCCAGUCAUUAGUGUGGAUAAGUAUGUAAAUGGAUAGAGACAGGAAGCAAACACAAGAUGUACGUGGUUCACCCAGAUUGGCUACGUCCACGGAGUAAAGGAGUUCUCAUUUAUUGUGAAGGGUUUACACAGUAUAUAGGUUCAAGCUCUCCUUUAGUGAGUACAAGUGAAUGAUUUAGUACAAAUGACAUUAGGAAAUAUUGUGGAAGAAUGAUCUCGUAAUCACGAAACUUUUUAAGUACCGAAGUGUGGUAUCGUCUUCACUUGCCUUAUCUGUCUCAUAGGUAGAUGUGGCAUCUUCUUUGGAAGUACUCUUCCUCCCUCCAGUUGUGGUAUCUUUAACUGGUGGAGAUGCACAAGGUAAUGUAUCAAUUUCACUUGACGCUUACUUGUAGUUUCAGGCUUGGUCAAGCACGAUACAAACCAUGUAGUAGGAGUCCCCCAAGUCGCCGAGCUAGGGGAUCUGCUGAAAGAGGUGACAGACAAGGUAAGCAAUCAGAGCUCCAAGCAAUCAGUCCCAGAUUAGAAGUUUGAUUUCGAGUUCCGGCUGAUUGUUAUCCUUCUCCUUAUCUUGCAGGUAGCAUGAAGGAUAAAGAGAAGAAAAGGAGAAAAGGUGAUAUGAGAUACUUUUGCUUUUGAAGAAGUAACUUUCCACAGGCUUAUUCUUGAACUGGGCUGGAGGGUUUUCUUGUUUCUGCCAGAGUAUAAGGCCGACUGAAGAAUUUGAGGGUCAAAACAAGUCCAUCAAAUCUAGAGUACGUUCGACCCUGCUGAUAUGAGAUACUUUUGCUAUUGACAUGGUAGUGGAUGUAUCGGCACGUGUUCUGUUGCGCUUGUCUCCACAUGCUUCCUUGUAUCCUUCUCACUUGCCUUAUUUGUUCCUCAGGCAGAUGUGGAAUCUUCUCGGGAAGCAUAAGAUGUUGGAGAUGAGUACUCGAGAGCAAUGGGGUUCCAGGCAGUCAGUUCCGGACUGGAAGCUUGAUUCCAAGUGCUGACUGAUUGCUCUCUUUCUCCUUGUCUUGCAGGUAAGAACAAUGCCAAAGGAAAAGACAGGGAAAAAGCAUGAUAUGGGAUACUCUUGCUUUUAACCUUGAUGAUAUGAGAUAUUCUUGCUCUAGUGUAGCUUGUUUGCAGAGGUAUUCUCGGGGGGAAAGAAAGCUGAGUAUUUCGAGAGGCUUCGUUGGGAGUGCCCUCUCAGAUAUGAGGAAGGGUUGAGCAUUUUUGCAGGUCUGCCUGUCCGUUGAGGAUAGAGGUCGACAUAUAUAGGAGUCUCCCUAACAAGGAGUAAUACUAUUCUUUUACCCUGCUUGGUCAUAGCACGGUAGUGGGAGCUGCCAGCUUCACGUGUUUUAACUCUGUCAGAGCACUUUGAAAAAGUGGUCUGUGGUAUUUGUAAAGCUGAUGUUACGUGUGAAGAUUACAGACAAGCUUUAUCCAAGGAGAUCUGGCCUCGAAGUUGAGAAAGCGGUGUGAGGAUUACAGACAAGCUUUAUCUAAGGGGCUCUCGAAGUUGAGAAAGCGGUGCCUCUUCAGUUUUCGAACAAGCAAUCCUGUCGGGGAUCUGUCUCUCGAGAUUCGGAGAACGGUGCCUCUUCGAUUUUUGAGAAAGCAAUCCUGCUAGGAGUCUGGCUCUCGAGAUUCGUAGAGCAGUGUCUCGUCGCUUUUUGAGAAAGUAAUCAUGUUGGGAGUCUGACUCUCGAGAUUCGGAGGACGGUGCCUCUUUGAUCUUGAAGCAAGCAAUCUUGUUGGGAGUGUUUUCUCAAAUGUGAGUAAAGGUUAGGCCUGUUUGCUAGUCUACCUUGCCACGGAGUACAGAGGUUGACCCACAUGGACUUUCCAAUUAUCCAGCAAUGGUCAUGUUCCUUUACACUUGUGGGUAAUAAUAUGGUAGCUAGACCUUCAAAAUUUAUGUGUCUAAACUUUGUUAGUGCUGUUUCUUUGCUAUUCUUUUACCCUUCUUGGUCAUAGCGAUGUAAUGGGAGCUGCAAGCUUCACGUGUCUAAACUUUGUCAGAGAUUUUUGGCAAAGUUAUCUGUGGUACCCGUGAGCUGAUGUUACGUGUGGAAAGUGAAUGAUUGAACAGUAACAUUCACGUGCUUUCUACUUCACUAGAAAUCUUCGACAGAAUGCCCGUAAUUUCCGCAAAGUUGAGUGUGCAUAUGACAGGUGCUGACAAGGCUGAAAAAGCAGGUGCCUCUUCGAUUUCUGAGAUCGGCCCUCGUGGUCUCUGAGCAGCCCAGCUUUUGAGAAAGCAAGCGCCUCUUCGAUUUUUGCGAUCGACCUUCGUGUUCUUUGAGCAGCCCAGCUUUUGAGAAAGCAAACGCCUCUUCGAUUCCUGAGAUCGGCCCGCGUGGUCUCUGAGCAUCCCAGCUUUUGAGAAAGCAAACGCCUUUUUGAUUUCUGAGCAGGCGCCUCUUCGAUUUCUGAAGCUCCAUCGAGUGCGGAUUUUUAUAGAGGCUGGUAUUAAGUUCCAAAGCACACUUGAAUCUCCACCAGUAGAAGCUCCCUUCUUGCAUUUCUAAGAUCUUGAUUUGUCCGACCUCUUUUCUCUUCAACACCUUUGAAAAUGUCUGGCCCCUCCGACCGUCGUUUUGACUUGAACCUUGUUGAAGAGGCAGCCACGCCUUCUCCAGACAACAUAUGGCGCCCAUCCUUCUUAUCCCCUACUGGUCCUCUUACCGUUGGAGAUUCCGUGAUGAAGAAUGAUAUGACCGUUGCGGUGGUGGCCAAGAACAUUCUCACUCCUAAAGAUAACAGACUACUUUCCAAACGGUCUGAUGAGUUGGCUGUUAAGGAUUCUCUGGCUCUCAGUGUUCAGUGUGCAGGUUCUGUGUAUAAUAUGGCCCAACGCCUAUUUGCUCGAACCCACCAAGUUGAAUCAUUGGCGGCUGAAGUGAUGAGUCUCAAACAGGAGAUUAGAGGGCUCAAGCAUGAGAAUAAACAGUUGCACUAGGUCGCUCAUGACUAUGCUACAAACAUGAAGAGGAAGCUUGACCAGAUGAAGGAAUCUGAUGGUCAGAUUUUACAUGAUCAUCAGAGGUUUGUGGGUUUGUUCCAAAGGCAUUUAUUGCCUUCGUCUUCUGGGGCUGUACCGCGUAAUGAAGCUCCAAAUGAUCAACCUCCGAUGCCUCCUCCUUCUAGGGUGUUGUCCAGUACUGAGGCUCCGAAUGAUCCCCAUCCGGUGCCUUCUCUUUCUGGGGCUCUGCCGACUGCUGAGACUUCUCCUAAGCAACCUUUGUGAAGGCUCCCUCUUGUUUGUUUAUUUUGACUCGUGUAUAUGUACAUAUUUGUAACUUCUUAGAGAUAUCAAUAAAUAAGCUUUGUUUCAUUUCAAUGUAUUGUGUUAAAUACAUCAAAGCCUUCUUCACUAAGUUCUUUGAAUUUUUCUUUUGUUGAAGCUUGUAUGUUGAAGCUUUGUGAGUAGAGCAUGUAGGUUGAGGUAGUGUUCCCUUAAUUUCCCGAGUGGGGAAAACUUCUCGAUUGGAGACUUGAAAAAUCCGAGUCACUGAGUCAGGUCGGCUAUAUGAAUCUUAGAACGCCAUUGUGCUCGAUCCUGUAUCAUGUCCUCCGUUAGAUCCAAGUACUCUAAGUCUUUUCUUAAAGUCUCUUCCAAAGUUUUCCUAGGUCUUCCUCUACCCCUUCGGCCCUGAACCUCUGUCCCGUAGUCACAUCUUCUAACCGGAGCGUCAGUAGGCCUUCUUUGCACAUGUCCAAACCACCGUAACCGAUUUUCUCUCAGUUUUCCUUCAAUUUCGGCUACUCCUACUUUACCUCGGAUAUCCUCAUUCCUAAUCUUAUCCUUUCUCGUGUGCCCACACAUCCAACGAAUCAUCCUCAUCUCCGCUACACCUAUUUUGUGUACGUGUUGGUGCUUCACCGCCCAACAUUCUGUGCCAUACAGCAUCGCCGGCCUUAUUACCGUCCUAUAAAAUUUUCCCUUAAGCUUCAGUGGCAUACGACGAUCACACAACACGCCGGAUGCACUCUUCCACUUCAUCCAUCCAGCUUGUAUUCUAUGGUUGAGAUCUCCAUCUAAUUCUCCGUUCUUUUGCAAGAUAGAUCCUAGGUAGCGAAAACGGUCGCUCUUUGGUAUUUCCUGAUCUCCGAUCCUCACCCCUAACUCAUUUUGGCCUCCAUUUGCACUGAACUUGCACUCCAUAUAUUCUGUCUUUGAUCGGCUUAGGCGAAGACCUUUAGAUUCCAACACUUCUCUCCAAAGGUUAAGCUUCACAUUUACCCCUUCAUGAGUUUCAUCUAUCAACACUAUAUCGUCUGCGAAAAGCAUACACCAAGGAAUAUCAUCUUGAAUAUGUCCUGUUAACUCAUCCAUUACCAACGCAAAAAGGUAAGGACUUAAGGAUGAGCCUUGAUGUAAUCCUACAGUUAUGGGGAAGCUUUCGGUUUGUCCUUCAUGAGUUCUUACGGCAGUCUUUGCUCCUUCAUACAUAUCCUUUAUAGCUUGGAUAUAUGCUACUCGUACUCCUUUCUUCUCUAAAAUCCUCCAAAGAAUGUCUUUUGGGACCCUAUCAUACACUUUUUCCAAAUCUAUAAAGACUAUGUGUAAAUCCUUUUUCCCAUCUCUAUAUCUUUCCAUCAAUCUUCGUAAGAGAUAGAUUGCCUCCAUGGUUGAGCGCCCUGGCAUGAACCCGAAUUGGUUGUCCGAAACCCGUGUCUCUUGCCUCAAUCUAUGCUCAAUGACUCUCUCCCAGAGCUUCAUUGUAUGACUCAUUCGCUUAAUACCCCUAUAGUUCAUGCAAUUUUGUACGUCGCCCUUAUUCUUGUAAAUAGGCACCAAGGUGCUCUUUCGCCACUCGUUUGGCAUCUUCUUCGUUUUCAAAAUCCUAUUGAAAAGGUCAGUGAGCCAUGCUACACCUGUCUCUCCCAAGGCUUUCCACACUUCAAUCGGUAUAUCGUCUGGGCCCACUGCUUUUCUAUGCUUCAUCUUCUUCAAAGCUACAACCAUUUCUUCCUUCCUGAUUCGACGAUAAAAUGAGUAGUUUCUACACUCUUCUGAGUUACUCAACUUCCCUAAAGGAGUACUCCUUUCAUGUCCUUCAUUGAAAAGAUUAUGAAAAUAACCUCUCCAUCUGUCUUUGACCGCGUUCUCUGUAGCAAGAACCUUUCCAUCCUCAUCCUUGAUGCACCUCACUUGGUUUAGGUCCCUUGUCUUCUUUUCCCUUGCAAAUUAAUAGGAAGCAAAAAUAUUAUUCGAUACCACUGACAUGUUAGGAAAUAAUUAAACAGAACCAUGCACGUACAAAAAAAAAGUGAUUUUUCACAUACCCUUUUUCUUUAGCUUUUCACACAUUGUUUUUUAUUAUUUAUAAUCUCAAAUUAAAUAAAUCAAACAAAAUCAACAUUCAAAAUUAAACAAAUAUGUGUAAUUAAGAGGUUAAAAAUAGUACAUAAAAUCACUUAAAAAAUGUUAUAAAGGGACAUGAUCUUCUACUGCUAGAAAUUACAUUAGAUUAGACAAGGCCAGGCAUGGACUUGACUGAAAUAGAUUAAACAUGGCAUUAUUCUUUUUAUUUUUAUUUAUUUAUUUUAUUUUUUUUUGUGUGUGUGUGGUUCUAAUGUGAUUCAUUGAAAAGGAGACAAAUCUCCAAAAGAGUACAAGGACCGAAUCAGCACUAGGCUGAGGUCAAGGAAAUACAAGAGAGGAAAAAGAGCAGCCGAUCACAAAAUGAUCAGGGAAGGCUAGAAACAUGACCACCCUCCCUGACCACCGCACACAAAGACAAACUAGUGUGGGCAAGGUAGGUCGAUGUAUGAAUAUGGACCAAAACGGAUGGGGGUUUGGUAACCCAGACUUCCAGACACAUCCCCCUAUUACAAUGCGAAGCAACCCAGUCGGCUGCAGAAUUCCCUUGACGGGGGAUGCUGGACCACUUUAGGAAUUGGAACCGAUGACUAAGAUUAUGGAUCUGGUUGAUGAUGGGAAUCGUGUGCAACUUGCAAAGAAGUUAUUAAUCAAGCUACAGAAAGAAGGAGACACAUAAUUCAACUAAUAUCGCAUACAUUUUGUGAGACCCUGUUAAUUUUUCAGGUGUUUGAUCUAAUUAAUGAAAUUUGGCUUCGAUGUUUUCUGAGAUUUUGGUGACAAUUCGCGAGGAACUAAACAGUGAAUUGGGAUUGGAAAUCAAAUAUUUCAGUUUGAGAGGCAAAGUGAUGGUGUAUGAAGGUUGAAUGAUAAAAUGAAGGAUUAAACUGUGAGUUGAGCUUACUAUAACUCCAAGGCCAAGGUUAAAUCGCUAAAAGGCGACCCCGAGCCAACAAGGUUCGCCGCUUUGUGAGGGUUGGGGGAGGAAUAUCUAUUGUACGCAACAUUAUCCUUACUUUGCGAAGAUUCUAUUUCCAAUACUCAAACCCGUGAUCAAAGGUCACAAAAGAGCAACCUUUCCGUGUGCCAAGGCUCGCCCUCCAAGGUUAUAUAUCACUACGAGAAAAAGGUUCUAUAAUGAUAUUUUAAUUAAGGUGGUGACCAGAAACCAAUUACUAGGAGAGUAACUUACGUACAACUGGAUGCUAGCUAGGGUGACAGUAUUUUAAACGGAUCACGAUAUACUUACUUGGGAAAUUGAUGGACGAGAAGACUUGUGACACACCCCGACUCGAUUAGCCUUCUAACUAAGGGUGAAAAUGUAUAGCCGACACUAAAUUGAUGAUAAAACCCCACUAUAAAGGUGACGAAAUACCAUUAGCUUAAUGAUGAAGCCAUAAGUAAGGAGAUGUGAAAGAUUUGGAACCGAAUGGCUCAUUUAUUAAUUAUUUAAUCUAUCGUCUAGGUUCCCUGCACAAUCUGCCCACUUGGGGACACAAUCUAAAACUAAUUCUAUUUUUUUAUAUCACAUCGAUCAAAGCAUAACAAUAAUGCAUACAACAGUAAAGUCAUACAAUUAAUUAUAGUUUAGUAAAGAACAAGCAGAAGUUAAACUGCCCUACAUCGUAGGAAGUUUGCACUACUGCAAUUCUAUCUCUCGCCUUCUCAACAUACGCCUUGCACUUGCUAGGACCUGAGGGGGUACAAAACAAAGUGUGAGUGGACCAGUUUUAUCACAUUCAGGUAAAAUCAUUUUCAACAUGCUAACCCCUGUUUUGUAAAAAAAAUAUAUAUAUAUAUAUAUAUAGUUGGAAAACUAAAUAAUAAUAUUUACUACCAUAAUAGUAAAUGAAAAUCACAACAAUUUCCAUGAUCAAACGUUGUCAAUCAAAAGUUCAGAAAAUCAUAUCUCAUCUCAGUCAAUCAAUCAUACUAGUGUCUAUUGGCAUAAGUAUAGCAUGCAGGGUGUGCUAGCGUCGACUAGCUAGACACACUUACCGAUAAUCAUCAAUAAUCCUAGCGCCUACUAGGAUAACAUAUCACCUGCAAUUACUCUACGGCCGAAGAUGGCUAUACCUAAUAUCACCUCAACGCCUCGACAUAUUAACACUUCUAACACCUCAACGCAACAUGAUAACACUUCAACACCUCAAUACCAUGUGGUGAAAAUAAAUCACCAAUACUUGUCAAAAUAUCAAUAAAUAUUAUCAUAAGUCUCAUUAAAGACCAACAAGUAAUAUGCACCCGCAUAUAACACAUCCACACAUGUAUAUAGAUAUAUUGUACUCAACAUAGAGGGUAUUGUUGCAUUUAGAAUAACUUUAAUGGAAACAUAUGAAGUUAUUGAAACUACAGGGGAGCAAAGGUAAAUAAAACCCAAAACCAUAACAGAAAAGUGGAAAUUGGCGCCCAAACAAAAACAGAAAAUGGUAGUCUGCUGACUCUCAAACCACUCAACCGUCCAAAGCUCUGUUACUUUCCCUCCAAGAAACCUCUCUCUCUCCCCCCACCAAGAAAUCACCAUGUUUGGAUUCAGCCUAGAAGCAGGUGCUGUUCUUCUGAGGAAGGCCGUGGCUGCCUUCAUCAUGACAGGCUGCUUCAACGGCGAGAUGUUCAUCUCGAAUGACGACGUCACUCUGGCAGCUACCACAUUUCCCAUCCCAAUGUUCCAAAUCCCAAGCCUCCUCGUAUCCCUUCGAUUGCGACCUCUCAUCGGGGAGGACUUAUACUGCACCGAAGGCCUCCUCUGGCUUGCCCUCAGCUUUCGUGACUUCUAUAACAAUCUCAGUCUUUAUGAGGACGACGAUGAUUUUUUCGGCAUCUAUGGCAGUGCAGACCUUCGUCGCAUCAGAUUUGUGCUCGUCAAUAAUAGUCAGUGCCUACGUAACAGAUUAAUUUAAUUAACCCGUUUUGAUUUCUUCAGUUCUGAUUCGUUUUUUUCUUUUUUCCAAGGUUUCAAGAAUUGGGUUUUGAUUAUUUGACAGUUCUUCUGCAAGUUUUUGAAAGUUUUCGGAUUCAACUGUUCAAGAAUCAAUCAUGUUGAUGGGUUCAUCAGAAAUCCUAUUUUCUUGAAAAUUCUAUUUAAAUUUGAUAAGUUACCCGCAAUUUCGCUUUCUGAUUUCGGUUUUUUGUUUCCCUAUGUUCGGUUUCGAAAAUGCUAGGAACUGAGAGGUUUUGGGAUCAGCAAAUGGACUUGUUUACAAUCGAACGUGGUCGGAUGAUCGCACCUGAGUUCCACUAUGAAUAUGAUGUGGUCGUUGGAAUACCUUCGGGCAUAUUUGGAAGUCUCAUCAUGAAUCUAAGCCGUUUCGGGAUGACAGGUACUAUAUCGUUGUUUAAUUGCUUGCUGAAUUUUACUGAUUGAGAUUCAGAACAUGCCCUUUUUUUUUUUCCUUAAUUCUUACGAGAACAUGUUAAUCAACUUCAUUUAAUUUACCGACAAGUAUCAAAAUCGGCCUUUACAAGUCUUCCAUAAGAGUUUUAUUUUCAGACACUUUCAGAAUGUUACAGUAAGUUACUAGCCACAGUUUAAUCCGGAAAUAUUGACAAGUUUGCAGUUUUUAACCAGUUGUGCAUUAUAUCGUUCCCUUAUUGUGGUUUCUAAAGGCAUAACUUAGUUUGAAUGUUAUAAACUUUUAAUAGAACCGAUCUUGUUGAACGUAAUGACCAAUCCUAGGCAUUCAUAGGCAUCUAACGGCAUUUCGUUGAUGUUUUUUUGUAAGUUGACUUGCUGCUCUUAGCAACUAUCUCACAAAUAACAUCUUGCAUAUGUCACUAACUCGACUUGUAUUUGUCAUCUCAGUUUCUGCACUUGUAACAGAAACUCAAGUUACGUUCACUGUGGGAAAUGUAAAGAUUGUUCUCAGGAAAGAGGUGCGUGUAAUUCCAAGCUUGUUACUACGGAGUUUGAUGCUCUGCAUAAGGCUUACCACAAUGUUGUUUUGAUGUUCUGGUUUUCGUCCGAAAAAAAAAACCCGUUCUUUUAUUCUAUAACGUGCCAAACUGUGAUUGAAAUUCCAACAAAUAGUGUCUAAGCUGCAGUUAGGAUCGAAUAACCACAAAAUCACAAGAAUCUCAAUUUCCUGAUCACAAAAUAUAUGAGCAUAUCUUUGUUUUCAUUUCGUGCAGCUGGAGGAGUGUAUUAUUGGGGGUGCUGUGGGUGAAAAUCCAGUUUCCUUGGUGUUCCAUAUCCAUUACAGUAACACAAUGCUGCGCUCUUCAUUUCUGUCAAAAAGGGUGUGGUUGCUUGGCCAGUCCAAUGGUUCAUCUGUCAUGCUCAAUUGCCCUGUUGGAACACUCGGUAACCUCAUGUUCUACGUUGGGUGAAGCAUGAAGGUGGUGAUGGUGAAUUGAGGACUGAUGAGAACAAUUGAUUAAACCAACAGUGAGCAGAAUUGAUUAACCUCAUGUCUUACUUACUCAAAUUAGAUAUAAUGAUUCAAAUUCUUUUACUCUGUUGUCAAGAUAAUGAGGUCUGAUCUGAUCUCAACCGUAAAGAACCAGCAACCGAUGAUGUCAAAUAUACUGAGUUGUAUGUUGUACUUGUUUUGACAAUUGACAUGAAUGUUGAAAGAUGAUAAAAUGUGAAGUCAUUGUGCUCUGAUCCUAUUCAUCAUAAUAACCCUUUGUGAAAAAAUGCAGCUUCACAUGCAGAAUCUAAUUGUUAAAUAGGGGUAAACAUUAAGGUUCUUGUCAACAAAAGUGUGGGAAGACCAAUUCCACCACAUGCUCUCGAUGUUACUUCACUGAAUCUCAUCUCUGUACUUUGAUUAAUAAUUUCUUGUAAAUUUCUCAAGGAAAUUUAUUGAAAACCAAAGUGAUACACUUAGUAAAAGGGGACAAAAAGGACCUAAAGAUAAUGUAAAUAACAUCAAUGCAAAAGCAAAGUACUGUUUUAGGUCUAUUUGACUGAAGAAUUUUAGAGAUUGAGAGAGAGGUUGCGGCAAAGUGUAGAGAGAAUUGGAAUAGUCAGGAAGCUUUUCAAUUUAUGCGGCCUCACAACCUUCAGACAUUACUGAGGCUAGUACAUAAAUGGGGGAAAAGAAGACAAAAGAAACUUUGGAGCUUCGGCAAUAGGACAAAAAUCAAGGCACCUCCAUCGGCAAUCCUCUUCGAUUGGAAACUUAAAGGGGACUACCACCAUGUGCCAUUAUGCAUUAGCACUCAGAAGUUUCGGGAUCACUUGUUUACUUGGAUUUGGCAAGUCCCCGACUGAGAAGUUCUUCCUCACUUGGGAACUUAGAGGAGCAUCGUUUGUACCAUAUUAUAUCAACUCCAAACCACCGAGUACCGAUCAACUAUAACCACUGAAAACUCUCCAUUCCUCCAACUUGGAGCUCACUUGCUCAAGAACACGUGGCAACACUAAACAAUGUUCCUAGAGAUCUACAUCAACCGCAGACAAGGAUGGGAGACUCUCCUCACCUAUAAAAGGAGACUCAUCUCGUACAAUUAAGGCUCUUGGAUCUUAGGAUGCCUAAUCCAGGCUUAAUCCUCUACUUAUGCUUAAAACGUCGUAUUAUGUAAACACUAAGUUAUUAAUGAGAACUUCUUUAACCUCAUGGACAUAGCCCAAAUUAGGACGAACCACGUUCAUCUCGUGCCUACUUCUCUAUCCUUAUCUCUUUACAUUAUCAACCUAACUUAACGACCUGAGCACCCUCGCGUAGGUCACUUCACCAAACAUUACGUUGACUUAAGGUCCACCUGAUUGUGUGCAUCAAUAAAUUUCAUUGGAUGUGUGGUCCUCACAUGGAUGCCAUGUUAGCACAUUAAUGGAAAUUUUAAUGAAAUUUAAUGGCAUGGGGAAAAGUGAGACUUAGAGUAGACACUCAAGGAGUUGAAUGACUUUUGAAUUUUAGGGUAGAGUCAAAGGAUAGUUGAGUUUCAAGGGGUGUUAGAGUAAAUAAGCCAUUAGACAAUGACAGUUCAAGUGGUUAGGUAUUGACUUGACUUAUUAAUUGACUCAUUCAUAAAGGUAGUGGUGACGGGACUUCCUUGGGUGCUUCGGAGUACCCAAUGCUUUAGGUGUUUUAACCGUUACAUCUUUGUUCAAUAAUGUAAAAAUUAAGAUCUAAUGGUUAAAACACACGGAGUAUCCAGUACUUCGAUCCACCCAAAUUUUUUGUAGUGGUGAUAACUACAGUGCAACAAUGUUGAGUUUUUUUUUUUUUUUUUUAACAGAUGAUAUCAUCUAUACUAAUGAAGUGAGGGAGUGGGCUAAGUCUAUUAUACAUUGCACAUUACCACAAAGCAAAAAUAUUAUUCCAAACCAUGACAUGUUAGGAAAAAAAUUAAACAGAUCCACGCACAUAUGAAAAAAGUGAUUUUUCACAAACCUUUUUUAAUUAGCUUUUCAGACAUUUCUUUAUAGAUAAAUGACAUAAAAUUACCUUAAUUAUAGCUUUUCACACACUUUUCAUACCCUUUUAUUUAUGAUCUCAGAUUGAAUCAAACGAAAUCAAUAGUCAAAAUAAAUAUAAGAGAUUAAAAAUAGUAAAUGAAAAUCACUUAAAAGAAGGUUAUAACGGGACAUGAGCUUCUACUUCUAGAGAUUACAUUAGAUUAGACAAGGCCAGGCAUUAACUUGACUGACUAAUAUAAGUAAACCUGGCCUUAUUUUAUUGCUCAAAACUUAGAAGAAUAGUGAUAACUACAGUGGCACAUCAAUUACGUAAAUUGAAAAGGACAUGCCAAAGGUGGCAGCGUUCACAUCAAUCAUGCAAUGCUAUGUAAAAAGCUUAAAUCAAGUAGCAUCGUAGGAAAAUGAUCAUCGCCCGGAUCUUUUUCUUGAGGAUCAGGAGGAUUCUAUGAUUAUAUCUAUUUAUCGUACAUCGUACGGUCAUAAAUCAUUUAAAAAUUUAAAAUUUAAAAUUUAAAAUUUAAAAUUAAAUAUAAAUAGUAUUUAACGAAAAUUGUCCGCAUGAUGUACGAUGUACGAUGAACGAUCACGAUCACGGGAUCUUUUGGAUCCCUAGGAAAAGGAUCAUCGCCGGAUCCUUUUUCAGCAUUGUGUUAUUCAUCAGGGACGCCACAAUAGUAUUUGAAGGGGUGUAGGUAAGACUCCUAUGUCCUUCCCCCGGAUAAGGGAGUCAUUGCGUUGCCAAAAUUAGGAUCAAGAUCUCUCCUGAGCUAAGGGUAAGGAUCCUCUUAACCAAACCCAUCGGGCCGUUAAAAUUUUAUCCAACGGUUACAAUUAUUAUAACUUUUAGAUGAGCCACCCUAGCCUUCACUCCCAAGAACUUUUCUUCUAGCAUUUGAAUCGUAUGCAACUUGCAACGAAGUUAAUAAUCAAGCUACAGAAAGAAGAAGACACAUAAUUCAACCAUUAUCGGAAACAUUUUGUGAGACCCUGUUAAUUGUUCAGGUGUUGAUCUAAUUAAUGAAAUUUGGCUUUGAUGUUUUUCGAGAUUUUGGAGACAAGUCGAGGAACUAAACAGUGAAUUGGGAUUGGAAAAAUCAAAUAUUUCAGUUUGAGAGGCAAAGUGAUGGUGUGUGACGAUUGAAUGAGAAAAUGAAGGAUUAAACUGUGAGUUGAGCUUACUAUAACUCCAAGGCCAAGGUUAUAUAUCACUAAAGGGUGGCCCUAAGUCAAUAAGGCUCCCUGCUUUGCGAGGGUCGGAAGAGGAAUAUCUAUUGUACGUAGUCUUACUCUUGUUUGCAAAGAUACUGUUUCCACAACUCAAACCCAUGACCUUUUGGUCACAAAGAAGUAACAUUUCCGUUGCGCUAAGGCUUGCUGUCCAAGGUUAUAUAUAACUACGAGAAAAAAAGUUCGAUAAUGAGAUUUUAAGGUGGUGGCCGAAACCAACUGUUAGGAGAGAAACUUACGGACAACUGGAUACUAGCUUUUGUGACAGUAUCUCAAACGUAUCACGAUAUACUUAUUAGGGAAAUUGAUGCACAAGAAGACUCGUUGAAAUUUAGCACUCGAAGAAUCAAAGGAUCAUCACAAAUCCAUAGCACAAGUUUUUUUUAGAUUCAGCUCAGCAUAAGAUCCUUCAAUUACCUUCACAAACAUACGUUACACAUCUUGAGAAACCCCUAGUAGCAGUCUCGCGAUGGUAUCGGUCAUAGUUUACAUAAUCGGGCAGGGACAUGGAUCCUCUGAACUAAAACUGAAGAGGAGUUAAAUGACCACGAGAUGCCGUCCAUUUAAAGCAUGCAAGAGCUUCAAGUAUCACAAUUAGCACUACAAUUAAAGCAUAAAACAGUUAUAACCAUCUUCCGUCACCUUGCAUCUUAAUUAACAAGUACUAGCCUCUGUGAAACCAGCGUAAGGACAACGAAUAAAUCGAAGACUGAAGAAGCACAACAAUUUAGGGUUUGUUAAUGAAAUUUAACUUGGAAGAAGAUUGGAUGACAACAGAAGCAUGAAAUACUCGUUCAUACAAGACGUAAAAAACAAGGCAUAGGAAGCAGAAAAUUCGGCUACAACACAUACCAAUCGGACCAGUACCUAGCUUCUCAGUCAAUAUCAUUACCACUAGACGUGUAGAAGAAACAGGUAAGGGCGAACACAAUGUUUGUGACUUGACUUCACACAACACAAGUGGCCAGGUAAUUACUACACACCAUUGAUGCUAAAGAGCAUCUAAGUUAAGGAUUAAGCUUGAAAUUCCCAACUUCGAAAUAACUAAGGUUAUAACAAGGAAUGAUAAACACAUACUCCUGUUUAAUUAUGUCUGUUGUCUUUGCCUGAUUUAUUCAAUCAAACGGCCAUAGUGUUUGAGAAGCCAAAAAGGGUGUUAAAACCACCUCCCUGUAAAAAGGCUCCGGAAGCUGCAAUCUCAUUCGAAGUAUCUUGUGUUUACUUACCUUUUCAGGCAUGAGAAUGAUACCUAGUUGUUCAUGUAAGAGAUAAACAACUGCCUCCUUGACAGAGAUACCUCGUUCAAAUCGGGUAUGACAUAGCAAAACGUGAGAUUCACAUACUUUUUCGUACUUUGGGGGUAAAUAAAUUCAUGACAAAUUAGGAAUGGAAUGAUAACCCAUGUCAUGUUUUGCAUAACCAAUUCUGAGAACUAAACAUGCCAUAAAGGAUUUGCCCAGCGUGAAACUCUAAUCACCAGCAUAAGAAAAGUAUUUUGAAAGCAUCAAAAGGCGUAGCUAGAUGAGUCUUUGCCAAGGAUAAUUGCAUCCCCCUCAUGUGGGGAUGCAUAUAUCCCAUUAUAUAUUUAGCUUAAUUAUAUCUCUAAAAACCAACGUAUUAAAAGAGUGAGGCGUGAGGCGAAACCUCACGGGACCUAAAUUUUUUAAUAUAUACACUGAGCAAACACAUAUAUUAUAAGUGUACACACACACACACACACAUAUAUAUAUAUACAUAUUAUAUAUAUAUAUAUAAUAGAGGAUGAAAACACAAUGAGCACACAUAUAACAAUGCACGCAGACAACACACAUAUCCAUUAUAUAAAAAAAUAAAAAUCAGAAAAAAGGCAGAGAGACAAUAGUACAAGGAAGAGGUAUGAGGCAGUUAAAACCCUACCCAAAAUUUGGGUUUGGGAGUAAAAAAAAAAAAAAAAUUCUCUUGAGGUGCGCCUAGGCAGCUCCGGCGACACCUUCCGCCCACUCCAGCAAAACAGAGAUGUUAGCCUUCGCACCCAGCCUCAAAGGCGUCAUAGGCGUGCCCCGAGAGUAGUUUUUUAAAACAUUGCUAAAAACUAAGAGAAAAAAACUGGUAACAUCUUCAUCUUCCUCGCUAGGAAGCAUCUGCAAAUCGUCACAUCUGAAGAUCUCCAUUGUUUUGGACACAAGGUGUACUCGGCACUGUGCAGCUAACGAGUUUGUUUGAAGCAUUUCGUUGAACACAAGGUGUGCCCAAACUGCCAGCAACUCAGAUGAACACCUUCACCUCUCUCCAGCAAUCUUUCUAGUGUCCACGGGUCAACUGACCCAGUUUGACCCCUUGCGGAUUCGUCCCUACGAUUGUAUGAAUAAGCAUCUUGAUUGAAUAAAAUCAAUGAUGGGAGCUGUUUAAUUUAUUAAUCUUCAUUUGAAGAUCACUUUUACAAAAUAUUAUUUUAGUCAGAGUAUGCAUAGAAUAAAUCAAUGGUGUAGGUUAUUCGCAAGAAGAGAAUGAGCUCAUUCCUCCAGAGGAAAUGCAAGUAUUGUCCCUUUAUAGAUAUAUUGUACUCAACAAGGAGGGUAUUGUUGCAAUUAGAAUAACAUUAAUGGAAACAUAAGAAGUUCUUGAAACUACAGGGUAGAAAACGUAAAUAAAACCCAAAACCAUAACAGAAAAGUGGAAAUUGGCGCCCAAACAAAAACAGAAAACGGAAAUCUGCCGGCUUUCAAAUCACUCAACCGUCCAAAGCUCUGUUACUUUCCCUCCAAGAAACGCCCCCCCCUCCCUCCCUCUCCCUCCCUCUCUCCCUCCCUCUCCCUCUCUCUCUCUCUCUUCACCAAGCAAUCACCAUGUUUGGAUUCAGCUUAGAAGCAGGUGCUGUUCUUCUGAGGAAGGCCGUGGCAACCUUCAUCAUGAUAGGCAGCUUCAACGGCGACAUGUUCAUCUCGAAUGACGACAUCACUCUGGUAGGGGCCACAUUUCCCUUCCCAACGUUGCAAAUCCCAAGCCUCCUCGCAGCCCUUCGAUUGUGACCUCUUAUCAGGGAGGACUUAUACUGCACCGUAGGCCUCCUCUAGCUUGCCCUCAGCUUUCGGUGAAAAAUGAUCGCAAUCAGGAAAGCUGAGGGCAAGCCAGAGGAGGCCUCACCUUUCAUGUAUUACAUCAGGGAUUACUUUUGAGGAAUAGCCUAUGGCGCAGGGCGUUAAGUAGAUGAGUUCUCCCUGGACUUGCUUCUCGUAGACAUCGACGUGGGAUUGAGUCUAGAAUGGACGGCCUAUGUCACCCCCCGAUCCCGACAUACGUCUAGGAUCGACACGCGAUGUCACCAAAUACCCGUAUCUCUAACUUACCCCGCCUCCGGGAUAUGGCAAAGCACAACUCGAGAAUUGAAUCGCAUAGUAAUUUUUCGUACAUUUUAUGGCUACAUCUAACCUCUUCGUUAGACUACCUACGUACCAUCAAUAGGGAUCAAAUCAUUCGUAGUUCACCAACAAUAAACUCUUAUCACCACUGCAAGUCAUUACUACAUACAUGUAAACACAGUAACCCUUAUGAGACGUAAAGCACAUAGCUUCUGAACGUGAAUUGUCAAAUUGGAUUUGGUUUCAAUGUAGUAAUGCAUAUAGAUAUGUAUACUUAUUAAGACACCCAUUUUUUUUGGAAACAUUCAAACAAAGAAAGUGAUGUAUAAACAUGAAGUACUUAAUCAAAAUAGUAAUCACACCGAAUUAGAUUUGUCAAACUAUUGAUAUCUAUACCAGCCCUAACCUUACCAAUCAAUAUAAUUUAAAUACAAUCAUAAGCAAUUACCAUAUACAUACCACUUUCAAAUUCUAUAUCAAAACAUAGAGCCAAUAGUACGUAUAAAAGCAAUAAUCUAACUAUGGUUUGAUAAUAAUUAGCUGGACUAAUUGUAGCAAAUAAAAUAGCUUGUUUUCUUCAAAACCAAUCCGAUUGGAUUGUAAAGAUUGAGUAAGGAAGAUAUGCAUGUACUUUGAUACACAUGUAGAUAAAACCACCUGCAUAUAUUCUCUUCAUAAGUAAUUACAUAUUUAGUAUACAAUCGUUUGGAAAACAACCAGCUUCCCAAAGUGGACUAGUCGAAAUACUUUGCCAAGGGCAGUAAUACGACAAUAUAGCUUUCUGUGUAAUACAAAUCUUCAGAAACAUGACAAUUAAACAAAACAUCCCUUUCGGCUUUUAUACCAUUCUAGGGUUUAGGCAUUUGCAUAUAUAUAUAUAAUACUAGUUUUGCAAACAAUAGCUAAUCCACGACAGAUUAACCGAAAGAAAUAUUAAUAAGAAUUAGCAAAACGGAAAGGAUAAAGAGAGUUGAGAAUAUGAACCCAUACUGCAGGUUGACAUCCCAAGUGAGAAGGAUAUGAAUAUCUUCAACUCCCUUCUCUCUGCUCCUAAUUAAUUUAUAUUCCCUUCCUUCCAUUUGUCUUUUCUUCUCUUUAUUUUUGGGUCGACUAACUGGGAGAAACCAAUAAACUCGUAAGGUUGCUCGUCAGGAUUAUCUGCACAUCCUCUCCCAGUUCUUUCUCUCUUCCCUGAUAGUGUUUUGGUGAUCAGACUCGCAGGACUCGUUCCCCAUGGGUGUCCUCUCAAACGCCCCAAAAAAAUCAAGAGAAUAGGGAGUCCUCCCCCGGAAGGGAAGCGAGUCCCCCUCCGCCCUCCUCUUUUUUUUUCUUUGGGACACUUUGUAUGCGGUCCCUAAUUAUCAAUAUUCUUUGAUUGAAAUCUUGUUAGUUUUUAGUUUUUUAUUGAGGUCCCUGACAUUAAUGUAAUAAUGUAAGUUACUAUAUUUUUUUAAUUAAAAAUUAAAAAUUGAAAUUUGUAAUUGUUUAUAUUAAUGAGAUUUUAAAUAAAACCCAUAAUUUAUGGGAUUAAAAAUAAUAAAAGAUAAAUUAUACUCUCUAUUAUAUUGUGUGUGUUUAUAUAUAUAUACAUAUAUGUAUGGGUACAUUAACCAAAAUUAACAAAAAAAGUUAUUGUACCAAAACAUGGAUACAAUUUCAAAUCAACGAAAAAGAAUGUACCCAUAUAAGUUUAAACAUGGAUUAAAAAAUUUGAAUGGAUUUUAUAUUAAAAAAAGGGUACAUUUUACAUAUAACAAAUUGAUAUAUUUGAGAAUGGGUACAUUUAAGAUUAAAAAAAUUGAAAACUUAUAUGAAUUGGUACAUUUAAGAUUAAAAAAUUGAGAAUCUUUUUAUAUAUAAAAAAAAAACUAAUAGGUACAAACUUAAUUUUAUUUAAUUUUUUAUUAUUUUUGAAAUGUUUGAAUUGAAAAUUAAUUAGAAGUUUAAUAGAGGUGUGAGUAUUAAACCCUAAAUUAAUUACUAAUUUUUAUAUUAAAAAAUUAUAUAAUAAACAAGUAAAUUCAUUAUCACAUUAAUGCUAGGGACUUGAAUCAAAAUUUGAGAACUAAUAAGGUCUUAGUCAAUGAACAAUAAAAACUAAGGACCGGAUACUAAUUUUUCCUUUUUCUUUCUUUCUUUCCUUUUUCUCGAUCCUUCUCGACCUCUCAUUUUUCUUCUUUCUUUAUUAUUUUAUUCUAUCAUUAAUACUUUAUAUCUAGUGCUAUUAUCUUUUCGACUACUUUACAUAUAAUGAUUUAUACGUGUUUCGUAAAAUCUUUCUUCUAGUUCUAAUUUUUUUAAUGAUCAGUUGUUCAUAAUAAUGAGUGUUGUCAAAACAUAGAAAUUAAUAUGUCACACGUGUCCUGACCAGUAAAUCAAUGAAUGUCAACACAUACCCUCUAAAGACAUUUUGAUUGUUUCACAUUAAAUAAAAUAAAAUUAUGGACGGGUUGUAACAACCUAUAUAUCUCGGGGAUGGGAAUCACACCAUGUGUAGUUCGGAUGGUGCUUGCCUAAGUGAUUUGGAGGCGUCUGUAUAGAGUCUCCCUCUCACUGGUAGGGGCUCCCUUUCCUGACGUCGAUCCUCCAGCUUCCAUGCCUUCUUUGACAUUCCGCCUUUUGUAAAUUUUGGUUAGGGCUGGAUAGCAAAUAAGUUGUUAGUUGGUUGAGGGGACGAUUCUCAUAUUGUGCAAUCAGUUCCAGCCGAAAUGGCAUUGUAAGGUGUCACAUCCCAGACCGGCUCCGCCAUAGCACGAUAUUGUUCGCUUUGGGCCCCGACCACGCCCUCACGGUUUUGUUUCUAGGAACUCACACGAGAACUUCCUAGUGGGUCACCCAUCUUAGGAAUGCACUCGCGCAAACUCGUUUAACUUCAAAGUUCCGAUGGAACCCGAAGCUAAUGAGUUCCUAAAAGGCCUCGUGCUAUAUGGAGGUGAGCAUAUACAUAUAAGGCACAUCACCUCCUUUCCGUUGGUCGAUGUGGGAUGUUACAUAAGGAGUUAGGCAGUCCAUGACAUGGAAGGCCACCAGACAGUUGUAUAGUUUUGCUUUAACUGUAAGUUUUAUCGUUCCCAAGGUCUGUAUUGAAAGCCCAUUAAGGGUUUGGAGGUAGCCUUUUUCUUAUUGGCGUCAUCGAGAAUGCCCAUUUCUUCAGCUGCACCCUUAAAGAGGAUACUUACUUCUGAUAUAUUAUUUAUGAAAACUCGACUAACCAUAGAUUUUAAGAUCUGCAGUUUGACAACAAGAACACCUUCACGAGGGAGGGGUUAACAACUUCCAAACCCCCGUUGGAAAACCUCAAGGUAUUAGGGCUGAUAGGUGGUGGCUCUUUGAUUGGAGCCACCGUUCAAGGUUUUCUACAUGCUGCCUCUUUCUCCUUUCGAGUCAUUCUUAAGUGUUCCUACUUUCCGUUUAUGCGAUUGAUUCUAAAGAAUGGUCAUUUCCUGAUUAUCGAAUUGGGAGAAGGUUCUAAGCUUUUUAAGGCUUCUUGCGUCGCAUUUUGGGAGUAGGUAGUUGGAGCCACGCAUUUGAGCUUAGACCAACAAUUCUUGUUUGAGUUUGAGUGGGCACUGCUUGGACCAUAGGCCUUAAAAUGGGAGACGGUGUCUUUGAUGUUUUUCACUCGAGUCUUAAGAUUAGUGAGUCUCACCUAUUUUUUGCCUUGUGAACUUCUUCGAAGAUCUUUUAAAGACGCAUGUAUCUUUAACAUGCUUUCCCACACUUGGUCCAUGAAGAAAGAAUUCUCGUCGAACAGGGUGAUGACAGAAUCAUAGUGUGAUCGUUUGGGAUGAGCUUCUAUUGAGGUAAAGUGAUCUAGUUGAGAGGAAUAUGAGUUCACUCUCAACAAGAGCAUCAAUUGUUGGAACCAAUUUCAAGCACCGUUGUGGAUGGUGGAGGCACAAAUCCAAAUACCCAAUAAAACAUGAAACAACCAUGAGCAAGCCUAAGACCGUUUGAGGAGAUUGUGGGUGUGUGAUGGCCAAAGGUUCUCUGAUGGUCAAGUUAGUAAGCAAGUAUAAGACUCAAGAAAUGGGCAAGAGAAUUAGAGUGCAAUGAUUGUGUUACCAGACGCGGGCUCUAAAAUGGUGUAUUUAUACAUGUCGGGGGUGAUGCCUUUUUGGGAUAAAAUUCUUGUUCUAAGCCGGGAGAACCCUAGAGGAUAUUUAGAAGUAGAUAUUGCAUCAUAUUUAGGAGUAUGAUUACUUACAGCGCAUGCUAAUUUUGAGAUUGUUGGAACUCCAAGACAUAUAGAGGAUCUGGCUGAUUCCGCAUUGAAUCAGAUCAUCGUAUCUUACCGAACAAACAUGGUCUUUCUCAACGAAGUCCCUUAGACUUCACCCACUGCUCCAGAACAGGAUGAUGAUGGCACCGUUGGUCCGUUAAUCCAGCUUUGCUUAGAGCCGUUAAGUCCAUUAUCUGACUUCUGAGGUAACUGUAUUCACAUCCAUUUACUCCGACCCUGGUAAUUCAUGGCCCCACUUGAAAAAUUAAAAUAUUCUACCAAAAAAAGCAGUGCAAUUAAAGAAUGAAAGAGAUUUAAGCACCUGAUUUUGUCACCUUCCAUCUUAAUAACAACUAAGAAGAAAAAUUGUUUAUCCUUUGUUAACGAAAAGUAAUUUGGAAAAAGAUCAAAGCACAAUGAAAGCAUAAAACACAGCAAUUGCAAAUUAAGAAUAACACAUUAAAGAGACCUUCCCUCUAUUUAAGGACGAUUCUCAUCGUUCAUGUGAGUGGUUUCAAAUUGCAUUCAAUUCUUGUGCCGCUGAUCCUAUCUGCGGUUGGGGCCCGUGGAGGUUCUUUCCUUUCUUUCUUUGUCUCCUAUUUUCCUCCCUUCCAUUCAUUUUUUCCCAUUGCUCUUCAGUUAGAUUGGCCAUUUUCUCACCCUAUAGGUGUCUCUCAUUUUUAUUCAUCUAAGAUCCAAUCUUCAGUCAAGUUUCACCACGAUUUGUUGUGGUUCAUCGAGUUGGUGAAUAAAGAUCCAGUGCUUCCACCAGCUCGGAUGUUCUUAACACCACCAUCGUUUCUUUGUUGUCUUUCUUUGUUGGUAAUAUUGCUCGUAGAAUCACACAUGCUUCUUUCACUUGGUUGCUGCGAUGAUUGGGGUUGGAUGAUGAGAUUUGAUGAGGUGAUGCUUGAUUGGGGGUGAGGAUUUGUGAGGAUCGACAAACAAUGUUGUGGCGGUGGUUGCAGUGGUGGUCUUAGUUGGUUUUAGAUUUCUUUUUGUUUUAGGCCUCAACUUUUGGUUGGACUUCUUUUGGUUUGUUUGGUUGGCCAAAUUUUGCUUGUUUGAGCCUUUGUCUUGAAUGUUCUUGUUAUUGGUAAUAAAUUUCAUCUUUGUAAAAAUAAAAAAAAGAAUAAAACAUUAAAUUAGAUUAGCCGAUGCGAAACUUUGAACCAAUAAGAAAUAUCUAAUUUCAGACGAAAAAGAAUACAUAGACAACCACCAUGGUUCUGCUAUUUUUGGACCUUGAUUCCAACGAUGAAGAAAGAGAAAAUGACUCUCUCCAUUUCCCACAUGACCAACUCUCCAUUUUUCUUUUUCUUUUUUUUUAAUUGUUGUCCAAUCAGGUUGUGACACUAGCAUUUUAAUUAAUAAAGGGAUAAUAUAUUACUCAACCAAUACUUUUUAUACCAUGUUUGACACCAUUAUUUCUUUUAAAAUUCACUAUGUAUUCAUACUUUUGAAAAUAUUUCAUUAAAAAAUACUACUAAAGUACUAUAACUUGAACUUUCAUCUCAAACCAUCAAAUUCGCUAAAAUACUAAAGCAAACAUUAUCAUUCGUUCUCACUACAAGUGUAGUUUUUUAAGUAUAAAUAUGCACUUAUUUAUAUGAUAUAUAAUAAAUUUACCUAAAUCUGCCUAGUCCACCUAGGCGCAUAGAGCCCGCCACUAGACUAGCUCUUAGUGUACUUUGAUUAAAAUCACCCGAUGUUAGAAUUCUGAAUCCAUUACUGGUGGUAAGCAUUACCACCACUUGAGGGUGGUAAGCAAAAAUGCACAAAAAAACUGAACUUAUAACAAAGGAAAUGAGAAACACACAUCCCUGUUUAAUUAUGUCAUUUGUCUCUAAUUGAUUUAUAGAAAUAAAAAGUAGUAUGUAAAGAGCUAAAAAUGUUGUGAAAAUAACCUCUACUCAUGAAAACCGCCCAACUCAACUCACCUAAAAAGGUUUUGGGUGGUUUGGUUUGUCCAUUUUCUUGUAUAGCAACGGAUUUGGAAAACUCUGACCGAACUUAUUGGAUUGGCCAACAGAUUAAAGUACUAUCCAACCAAUUCACUGAUGGCCACUCCUAUUGGAUCAUUUAUUAAUUUGUAAUCAUAAUGAAAGAAAUUGAAUUGAAGAAGAAUUGAAUUGAGGAGUUGGAAUGAUGAGAAGUUAUAAUUGGAUUCCUAUAGAAGUAGUUUACUAAAGUAUUCUGGAAAUUGGAGAACGAAUGAUAAUGUUUUCAUGUAAGUUGAUUACUAAUAUACCUGAAUCAGAAUUUAAAAAAAAAAAGAAAAAAGAAAAAAAAGCCUAAUAUGAUUAUAUUUGAUGUGGGAGUUUAGACCAUCUUCAACCGUUGGGUUAAAAUCUAAAAUUUUUAACCCAAAAAAUUUAGGUUUUAAUCCUGUUGAUGCACAAAACCGGAGGUCUUGGAACAACGUAAAUCCGACCGUGAAUCUGCAUGAAAUGUAAAUAACACAAGAUGUAUCGUGGUUCACCCCAAGGUUUGGGUUACGUCCACACUGAUUGUAUUGUAUUUAUCUGAGAGGUGAGGGAGAGAACCUCUGUAAUGAUAGGAGAUGUGAGAGGGGUGAGAAGGCUCCAGAAAUGGCCUCCUCUAAUUGUGAGGGUGAGGGGUCCUUUUAUAGAAUAAGGACUCCUCACUUAUUACAUAUUUGCCAUUUCCUUUAUCACAUAAUUACAUUUAAGUCCCCCGAGUAUUUGUACGAGAUUUAAAUAUGAGGCCUUAAAUAUGGUAUAAACAGUAGCCCCCCAAGUCUUCAGUCAAGAGAAUCUUUUGGCUGGAGACUUGAAAUUCAAUCCAUGUGUGGGUCAAAGUAACUAGAUGUUGUCUUGAACUGAUGUUCGAUAUGAGGCGGUGCUCAAUCUGAAAUGAUGCUCAACUAGAAGUAGCACAUGCUGCGAGGUUGCUCGGCUCAUGGCUUAUGUUGCCUUGGUUGGCUCGGCUUGUGGCGUUUGAAGGUGAAGAAGUCCUUUUUAUAGAAUAAGGGUUCGCUCCUUAAUACAUAAAUGAUGGGAUAGAGUUGAUGCUCACGGCGAGGUGGUUGCUUAGUAGGCGGCGAUGCUCUCUAAUGGUGGUGAGGGAGUCCAUUUUAUAGAAUAAGGGCUCGCUCCUCAAUACAUAAGUUAUGGGUUAUGAGUGAUGUUCGCGGCGAGGCGGUUGCUCAGAUGGCGGCGUUGCUCUCUAAUGAAGGUGAAUGAGUCAUUUUUAUAGAAGAAGGGUUCGCUCCUCACUACAUAAAUGAUGGGCUAGAAGUGAUGCUCGCGGUGAGGCGGUUGCUCAGAUGGCGGCGUUGCUCUCUAAUGAAGGUGAGGGAGUCCCUUUUAUAAAAUAAGGGCUCGCUCCUCAAUACAUGAAUAAUGGGUGCUUUCUAAUGAAAGUGAGGGAGUCUCUUUUAUAGAAUAAGGGCUCGCUCCUUAAUACAUAAAUAAUGGGCUAAGUCCCUCAAGUAUUUUUCAUGAGGCCUAGUUGAAGCCCAAUAUAUGGUACAUAAUGUAGUCUCCCAAGUCUUCGGUCAAUAGAGUCUGUUGGCUGGAGACUUCAAAUUGAAUCCAUGUAUGGGCCGAAGUGGCGGUUGUUCGGAUACGGUAUUUGUAUACCUUGCAUUGAAGCUUUGUAGGUGAAGAUUUGCAAGUGAAGCUUUGAAGCUAGAGCUCUGUAAAUGAAGCUUUCGAAGCUGGAUGUAAAUGAAGCUUUUGAAGCUAGAGCUCUGUAAAUGAAGCUUUUGAAGCUGAUUGACAUGAGUGAUGCUCAUGAAUGUUUAUGUUGAUUGACAUGAGUGAUGCUCAUGGAUGUUGUCAUGAGUGAUGCUCAUGAAUGUUAACAUGAGUGAUGCUCAUGAAUGUUGACAUGAAUGAUGGUCAUGAAUGUUUAUGUAUGAUUGUCAUAAGUGAUGCUCAUGAAUGUUUAUGUAUGAAUGACAUGAGUACUGCUCAUGUAUAAUUUGGAGUACUGGGCGUACUUUUGAUCACCUGGUUGGUGGCAUGAAAGGGAGUACGGCUUGUACAUUUCAUCACCUAGUUAGUGGCAUGAAUGGCUAGUUGCCAAAUGAUAUUAGAGUACGGGUUGUACAUUUCAUCACCUGGUUGGUGGUAAUAGCGACAGGUUGCCGAAUAAUUGUGGAGUACUUGGCGUACUUUUGAUCACCUGGUUGGUGGUAAUAGCGGCAGGUUGCCAAAUAAUUGUGGAGUACUGGGCGUACUUUUGAUCACCUGGUUAGUGGUAUUUUGGGCUUAUGGGCCUUCGCCCUCUACACAACAUUCCAGCCCAUUUAUUUUGGGCUUUGCCCUUUUCUUUUAAUUUUUUUUAAAAUUUUUUAUUUUACCCUUUGAUGGGGUUUAUACAGAUAUUUCCGAAAGAUAAGGAAAAUAAAUUACAUCAUUUUGGUGAGGUGUUUAUUCCUUGCUUUUGCAGUGUCCCCAUAUGCCUCCCUUUUGCUUUCCUCUUUUCUGCUUUUGUUUCUUUUCCCGUAGCUUUACUGAUGUUAUCACGAGAGAAAAUGGUUUUGCCCGUUAUGGCAGUGGCAACUUUAUGUCAGCUGCCCGCACAUUGCCUUUGUGAACAAGACUCUUGCAACUUGCGUCAACAUUUUCCAAGUCAUAUGGUUCCACACCCCAUGCUUCAGUAUCCUCUUCUUUCUUUUAGCAUAUGGCAGACAAUAAUAAUAUGAUUAAUCAUAAAAAACUUAUCUUCUUCUUUUAGCAUAUGGCAGACAACAAUAAUAUGAUUAAUCAUAAAAAACUUAUCUCAUUCGUUGCAAACCAAUCAGGUUGGGAAGAUGACCACUGCAGAUCCAGGUGGAGGAGAAUGAUGACUCCAGCGGCCUCCCGGUUAAUCGAACCACGGUCCGCGUCAGUCGUCGGGUUUGUUCAACCUGAGUCAGCUGCAAUGAAAGAGUGACUUAGUUUCAGUCGCGGCGUUUCUGGGACUUUAGUUUCGUUCCGGGAACCAAUGGAUGCGCGAAAGAUCUUCUCGGCGGCGACGAAAUCGAGGGGCUUGGGAGGAUUGACGGAGGAUUUGUGGCACCAGCUGAGAAUGGCGGACCAGAGGGCGAGGUUGAAGAUUACGAAUGAGAGAUCUGGCGAUGGAGGGUCUGGGAAAGCAGGCGUGAAGCUGAGGGACUUGCAACUUGGACGCAGGCGCGUUCGAAGGUGUGGACGGAUGAAACAAUGACGGGGUCUACCAUUAGAAAAUCGGAGAUUGGACAGACGAACUCUUUGGGAGCUUGCGGCUUUGAAGUUUUCAACGAAACUGCAGACGACGACCUCUGAACAAGCUUCCAUCUUCGCCGGGUCUCGUGCUUGCUCUGCUCAUCUCCGCCACUCUCUCCGAUGUCGCGAAAGCCCAUUCGUUCUCUUUUGAUUUGUGGACCAUCAACUUCAUAAAAGCUUCCUUGAAAAAGUGGGGAGUUGCUUUCCUGAAGGAUUGCCUUUCAAUAGGCGUUCUACCUGUCAAUAGUUCCAACAUGACUACUCCAAAACUGUAAACAUCACUCUUUCCUGUAAACGUUGAUGGCCUUGUGCAUUCUGGAGUAUUGCAUCCCAUCCAGAGGUUUUGGGGUAAAGAAAGGAUUGAGAUCGAUGUCAAGAAAAAUAUUGGAUAAUUUGAUGUUCUUGUGAACUGUGGAUGGAAAGCAAACAUCAUGCAGGUACCUGGAAACAAGUUACAAAGAGUUUAUUACAAUUAUUAGUCCGGGCCUUUUAACGGUCCGCCUAAGCUGCAUGCACCAAAGAGACCAGCCCAUUCAAAGUAACCGUCGGCAAGCUCGGGCUCAACAAGGUGCCCAGCGAAUAAGGCCUUGUUCUUGGCCUCGAUCAUCUACACCCAGCGAACAAGUUUGUUGUUCUGAGAAAUCAAACUUGAGAGAGAUAGAGAGAGAGAGAGAGAGAGAGAGAGAGAGAGAGAGAGAGAGAAAGAGAGAGAGUUGAGCGUCUCUUGGGUUUUGCAGAUACACGGUGGACAGUGAUGAGGUUGUGAAGGUUUCACGGUGGUGAGAUGAAAAAUUGAGAGAGAACCGAUGUAGCUUUUCGUAUCGAUUCCCACAGACGGUGCCAAAUGUUAAUGCACAAAACCGGAGGUCUUGGAACAACAUAAAUCCGACCGUGAAUCUGCAUGAAAUGUAAAUAACACAAGAUGUAUCGUGGUUCACCCCAAUGUUUGGGCUACGUCCACACUGAUUGUAUUGUAUUUAUCUGAGAGGUGAGGUAGAGAACCUCUGUAAUGAGAGGAGAUGUGAGAGGGGUGAGAAGGCUCCAGAAAUGGCCUCCCCUAAUUGUGAGGGUGAGGGGUCCUUUUAUAGAAUAAGGACUCCUCACUUAUUACAUAUUUGCCCCUUCCUUUAUCACAUAAUUACAUUUAAGUCCUCCGAGUAUUUGUACGAGAUCUAAAUACGAGACCCUAAAUAUGGUAUAAACAAAUCCAAAACAGUUUUUUUGCUCCAACUUUUUUAAUUAAAUUUUUAGCCCAAGAUUUCUAAAGAAUUAAUUUAGGAUAAUUUUUUUUCUUAAAGUAACUUUAAAAAAAAAUUAUGUAGAUUACCAUAAUUUAAUUUUAUGAACAUUUUAACUUGAAAAUAUUUGGAUUCGGAUAAAUAUUGAAAAGCCAAUAAACCGGCACCAUGAAACUUAUAUGACACUAUAAAAGAAUAUGAAACAUGUGAAAGAAAUUUUUUUCUUAAUUAUUUUAGUUGUAGGAUUUAAAUUUGGACCUUUAGAUAUAUAUAGCUAUUAUCAUUGAAUUUGAUCAUAUUAUAUUUUAGCCGCUAAAUUCAAUGAAUUUAUAAAUAAAUAAAUAAAUAAAAACACAUAUAUGGUGGCUAGCCCACUAUCUAGAAGGAGAAAUUUUGCCUAAAUUUGCCCUAAAAAUGAGUUUUGGAUUAAAACUCAUACUUGGUCCAAGGGUUGGAGCAAGUUAGAGUAAGUUUAAAAUCUAAAAUUUAAGUUUUACUCCAAAUAUUGGAGUAGGUCUUAGGAGCCGAAUUCUUUAUUUUAAGGAUUCAAUUUUGCAGAGUGUAGGGAGUUUGACGUAUAUUUUCAUUUCAAAAAUAUUAACAUACACUUGAAUAGGAGUGCAAUUUCCAUUCCUCGUAUUCAAUCAUGUACACGCGCCACGGAAAUAGCAAAUGACAUGCGCCAGAUUGAUUUGUUACACGGGCCCACCUAAUAAGCUCAAAUCUGUAUCCUCCGUCGCUGAAGGCCUGCAGAUUUUGCUGAGUUUGCAAACUUGUAAGUCGUGACGCAUAAGAAGUGGCUAAAAUCCAAAUAUAUUAUUAUCACCACUCAUGACCCAUUCAUCCUUCAACCGUAUUUGCAUAAGAUAAUUACUAUUAAAGAUACAAGGAAAAGUUUUAUUCGCAUUUUUUAGUAGUAAGCUUAGCUUCACAAUAACCUAUUAAUAAUACAGUUCAAAUUUACUUUUAGCGUGAAUCGAAUAUAAGAUUUCUCACUUACAAGUGAAAAUGAAUAUCACUAAACCGUAGUACUGACUUCAGUUCACAUUUAAAAAAACUUACCCAAAUUCCUUUAAAUGCACUAACCAGUCGUAUAGAAGUACAUAGAUGUGUAUUUGGAUACCAUAUUAUAUAAUAUAUUUGAAAUUUAGAUUUUGAGGCAACUAAUAUUAAUGUUGACCAUGAUAUACCAGUUGGUGGGUAAUGAAUAUAAUCUAUGUUUGAAAAAUUAAUUGGAACUUAACAAAUAUGGCAUUUCAAUAAUUUAAGUAUUUAUUUGGAAUGUUUAAAAAUGUUAAGACCAAUGAAAAAGUUAAAAAAUUCUAAAAAGUUAGAAAAUUAAUUUUUUUUUUAAAAACACCUCUUUAAAUGGGUUCGUAAGGGUAAAAUUAUAAUUUAACUUUAAAUAUUGACAAAUUUAAGCAUUAUUUAUUAUUUUUUUCGCGAGAAUGUGGUAGGUUAGGUGUACCGUGUACGUGUGUGCAUACGUGGGGACAAAACGAAGUUGUAUUUUCCUCAUAGAAAAAAACAAAUGUAUUUGUUUGAUUAUUUAUUUAUUUUUUAUUUCGUUGCGAGGACGGAGGAGGCGUUUUUACAUUUCCGACCUUCCAAAGAGAGAAGAGGCAGUUAGACUACUGGACUGGAAGCUGAGUUUCCAUUUCCUUCUCCAGAGCAGACUGAGCGAGCCGAACCAGUACCAAAACAACGUCGUCGAUUGUUUCUCGCACUUCUCACUUCCGCCAUUUUCCUCUCGAACUCCGCCUUUGGUUUUCCCAGCUGUUUCCUCCGAUUAUCGGUAAGUCCGCCGCAUGCACGCACGCACGCACUUGCAUUUACAUAUACGUAUUCGUAUACGGUUGGCUGCGUCUGUUUGUAGUUAUUGGAACUAAUUCGUGUUCCGAUUAUUCUGUGUGUAUGUGUAUUUGUGUGAUUAGGUACGUGUGGAUUUGUUUGGGAUUUUGUGAAAUGUGAACGAACUGGCGUAUGUGUGAAUUUAUGCAUGUUGUGCGAAGGUGCGAGUUUACGGAUUUUUGGUGGUUUUAGGGUUUAGAGCUAUUGAUUUUUAUGAAUUUAUGAGUUGAUUUGAUGUUAUUUUAUUUAUAGUAGAUUGGAUUUGUUUGGCCAGGUGUUUGUCGAAAAAUCGAGCGAGGAAUGAGAGUGUCAAUGUGAUGCUGAUUGCGGUUAUAGGCGUUUGAGUGUGGUUUUUUUAGGCUGCUGUUCGAAUAUGGAUUUUCUGUGUAGUUUUCAGCAGCCAAAUGUGUUAUAUGGCAGUGAAGGGGCUAGUUAUAAGAGGUUGAAUUGCUUUAGUAGUUCACCGAUUAUCUUUGGGAGUAAAGAUGUUAGUUGUAACUUUCUGGGUAAUUCGAGAAUUGUUGUGAAAGCAUGGUCAGGUAAGAAGUUGAAGAGAACUGUCUGUGUAAGUGGUUGUAGGAUUUCACGUUUGACCUAUAGAGAAAAAGCUGAUGAUCGUUUGUGGAAUUCGAAUCCGAAAGUGCCUUUAUCUUGUAACUUUGGUAGUGUUUUCAAAGGGUCAAGAACAGUUUGGUGGUCGCGGUGUCAGAGUAAUGACUCAUUAGCGUAUGUUAAUGGAAAUGGUCAGAAUGUGGAAUACCUAGAAGGUCAUGAUGAGAGCUCAGGAGUUGGGUCUGUUCAUGAUGCCGAGUUGAGUGAUUCCAGAGAAGAAGAUGGAUAUGAAGAACAAAAAGAAGAACCAGAGGCACCUACAUUGGAUGAAUUGAACGAAUUGCUGCAAAAUGCCAUGAAAGAGCUUGAAGCUGCACGACUUAAUAGUACCAUGUUUGAAGAAAAGGCUCAGAGAAUAUCAGAAGCCGCGAUAUGCCUACGGGAUGAAGCAGCAAAUGCUUGGAAUAAUGUUAACUCAACCCUUGAUACUGUCCAAGAGAUCGUUCAUGAAGAGACUAUUGCCAAAGAAGGCGUUCAGAAAGCAAAAAUGGCACUUUCAUUAGCAGAGGCAAGGCUUCGGGUGGCAGUGGAAUCUUUACAGGUUGCAAAAAGAGAGACCAAUUCUUCUGAAAUUUCACAAGAGAAUGAUGGGGAACAUGAUUGCAAAGAAGAAGAAAAAGCACUUUUGGUUGCCCAGGAAGAUAUUAAGGAAUGCCAGGCGAAUUUGGCCAACUGUGAGGCAGAGCUAAUGCACUUGCAUAGUAAAAAAGAGGAGUUGCAGAAGGAAAUGGACAGGUUGAAUGAGGUUGCAGAGAAAGCACAGCUCAGUGCUUUGAAAGCAGAAGAGGAUGUAACCAACAUAAUGCUUUUAGCAGAGCAAGCUGUUGCUUUUGAACUUGAAGCUGCAAAGCAUGUCAACGAUGCAGAAAUUGCAUUACAAAGAGCACAGAAAUCUAUCUCCAACUCAAUGGUUGACACCACAGAAAACAACCAAGGACAGGUGUUGAGUGAUGAUAAUCCUGCUCUUGAGGAAGGGGAGACGGUAGUCCUAGGAAGUUCUGCUGAUAUCAUUGUUGAAAGGGACAGAGAUGUGGUAAUUGAUGGUGAUUUGUUGGCUGUCAAGCCUUUGGCAGACAGCCCUUCUGACAAAAUCAGCCAGAGUUUUGAAGACGCAAGUCAAUUUGUUGAUUUGAGUGAUCAUGAGAAUGGAAAGUUAAGUUUGGAUUCUCUAAAAGACGCUGACGUAGAAGCUGAAAAGUCAAAGAAUGUGGUUCAAGCUAAAAAGCAGGAAACUCAGAAGGACUUGAGUAGGGAGAGUUCACCGUUAAAUUCUCCAAAGACAUUAUUGAAGAAAUCUUCUCGUUUCUUUUCUGCAUCUUUCUUCUCUUCUGCUGAUGGGACUCCGACAUCAGUUUUCCAAGGUCUGAUGGAGUAUGCAAGGAAGCAAUGGCCAAAGCUGGUUGUCGGGAUGUUCCUAUUUGGAGUAGGGUAUGUAGUGUUUUUUCUACUUGUUAUUUCGUUUAUUACUGUGCCUUGUUUUCCCCUCUUCAAUAGGGUUUUCUUUUAAAAAAAUUCCUGCUCUUAUAAUGGUUAUAUGGGGUGUGAGCCUUGUCUUGCUUUGACCUCAAGAUGUUGAAAUUGAUCACAGGCUCACCUUUUAUGCUAAUCGAGUGGAAAGGGCCACACAACUGUUACAACAGCCAGACGUCAUCACCACUAGUAUUGAAGAAGUUUCCUCAAGUGCGAAGCCUCUAGUUCGAGAAUUACAGAAACUUCCUAGAAGAAUUAAAAAACUAAUUGAUAUGAUUCCUCAUCAAGAGGUAUGUUGCCUAACAAAAUUUUUAUUUUGGUCUAACGUCUAUCAUAAUUUCAACUUUCUGAUCUGUUCUAUCUUUUUCUCAGGUGAAUGAGGAGGAAGCUUCUCUUUUUGACAUGUUAUGGUUAUUGUUAGCAAGUGUGAUAUUUGUGCCUGUAUUUCAAAGAAUUCCUGGAGGUAACUGAAUCUCUAUAGCUUUAAUUUCUAUUUCACACUUGUUUGGUUUUUUUUUUGUCAUUUCAAAUGUAGGCGAGUAGUAUUUUCUAGUUGGUUUUGGUUAUAGAGUUGCAUUACUUUUUAAGCUUUAGAAUAUAAACCAUAAAGUUCGGAGUUCCACCAACCAAACACUGAACUUUUAAUGUGUGGAUUAGCUAUAUGUCUUUCUACUGUUUUAUUUAUUUAUUUUUCACUUCCUUGUCAUAUGCCUUUCACUUUCUUGUCAUAUACCUUUUUAUAAUCUAGACUUACACUUAGCCAACCUCUGUACUGCAGCACCCUACCCUAUUACACUUUCUUGAACUUAGCUAAAGUUUCAUUAAGAGGGUAAUUCUAUGGAUUUGAUCACAAGUUGACAAAAUACGUUUUGGUUCUUUUCCACAUCACACCAUCAUAUCAUAACUGCCUGGGCUUAUAACGCCAUUUCACUGAUGGGUAUCAUCUGUCUUUUGCUAUCUUUAGGCAGUCCUGUUCUUGGGUAUUUAGCUGCUGGCAUCUUGAUUGGGCCUUAUGGCCUCUCUAUUAUUCGUCAUGUACAUGGGACAAAGGCAAUUGCUGAAUUUGGGGUUGUUUUCUUGCUGUUCAACAUUGGCCUCGAGGUGGAGUGGACAAAUUGGACAUAUUGCUAUUUCAAUUUGUUAAAAAAAAUAAAAAUUAUGCUUAAUUUGAAUUACAAUGAGGAAAAUUAACAAUACUCUGGUUUGCAUUUUUUAGCUUUCUGUUGAAAGGUUGAGUUCAAUGAAGAAAUAUGUAUUUGGAUUAGGCUCUGCUCAGGUGAGUUACUCAUAUUCGUUUCGGCCUGGCCAUUAGUAAGAUUUUCUGUAUUGGUAGUGAGAAAAAAGUUUUCUAUCAGUUUGUUAAUAUGCAUAACCAAUGCAGGUUUUGGUGACAGCUGUUGUGGUUGGUGUGGUUGCUCAUUAUGUUUGUGGGCUGCCUGGACCUGCUGCAAUAGUAAUUGGCAAUGGUCUGGCUUUAUCAUCCACUGCAGUUGUUCUGCAGGUAAUGUUUUGCUUUAUUUAUUUUCUCAUUCAAAAUGUAAGUAUAUGGGUAGAUAGAUGAAGAAAUACAAUAUUGAGUAUCUGGAUAUGUUCAAUACAGAUAUAUUAAGUUACUAAGGGGUUUUUGGACCUUAUAAUAAAUACAAAAUUCAUGAUGACUAUGAUGAAGUGGGUAACUACUGUGGAAAUUUUCCUUCUUUGAGAAAAAAAAAAAAAAAAAGCCUUGUUCUCUUGGAAAGGGGUCUGGGGUGUGAAUAUUCCAGUAAAAGCAGCCUUCUUCAUGUGAGAAAUGAGAAGCAGCUCACCAUGACAGUUUAAUUAUUGAUAGUUUGUGGGUUAGAGGCAGAAUAUUGGUGAGUAGGUAUUGUUUGUAUCAAACACAGCAGGCCAGCACAAAAAAUGAUUUAAUUCUUCUGCAUUGUUCAGUGGCUUCAAAAUACUGGUUUUUAUCCUAUAUUCGUUUAGUAUUUCUUGUAGUUCAGUUUCUGGUUCUCUAUUGGGUUGACAUGUUCAGUUCGUUAAAAGCACAAUAGAGCAGUGUGUAUAUUGUUCAUCAUGUGUGAAUUCUGGUGUGGUGUUCAGUGGUACAUAAGAGCUAUGACCAAGAAGGGUAAAAGAAUAGCAAAGAAACAACACUAACAAAGUUUAGACACAUAAAUUUUGAAGGUCUAGCUGCCAUAUUAUUACCCAGAAGGGUAAAGGAACAGGACCAUUGCUGGAUAAUUGGAAAGUCCCUGUGGGUCAACCUCUGUGCUCCGUGGCAAGGUAGACUAGCAAACAGGCCUAACCUUUACUCACAUUCGAGAAAACACUCCAAACAAGAUUGCUUGCUUUAAGAUCGAAGAGGCACCGUCCUCCGAAUCUCGAGAGCCAGACUCCCAAAAUGAUUACUUUCUCAAAAAGCGACGAGACACCGCUCUCCGAAUCUCGAGAGCCAGACUCCUAGCAGGAUUGCUUUCUCAAAAAUCGAAGAGGCACCGUUCUCCGAAUCUCGAGAGACAGAUCCCUGACAGGAUUGCUUGUUCGAAAACCGAAGAGGCACCGCUUUCUCAACUUCGAGAGCCCCUUAGAUAAAGCUUGUCUGUAAUCCUCACACCGCUUUCUCAACUUCGAGAGCCAGAUCUCCUUGGAUAAAGCUUAUCUGUAAUCUUCACACGUAACAUCAGCUUUCCAGAUACCACAGACCACUUUUUCAAAGUGCUCUGACAGAGUUAAAACACGUGAAGUUGGCAGCUCCCACUACCGUGCUAUGACCAAGCAGGGUAAAAGAAUAGUAUUACUCCUUGUUAGGGAGACUCCUAUAUAUGUCGACCUCCAUCCUCAACGGACAGGCAGACCUGCAAAAAUGCUCAACCCUUCCUCAUAUUUGAGAGGGCACUCCCAACGAAGCCUCUCGAAAUACUCAGCUUUCUUUCCCCCCGAGAAUACCUCUGCAAACAAGCUACACUAGAGCAAGAAUAUCUCAUAUCAUCAGGGUUAAAAGCAAGAGUAUCCCAUAUCAUGCUUUUUCCCUGUCUUUUCCUUUGGCCUUGUUCUUACCUGCAAGACAAGGAGAAAGAGAGCAAUCAGUUAGCACUUGGAAUCAAGCUUCCAGUCCGGAACUGACUGCCUGGAACCCCAUUGCUCUCGAGUACUCAUCUUCAACAUCUUAUGCUUCCCGAGAAGAUACCACAUCUGCCUGAUGAACAAAUAGGGCAAGUGAGAAGGAUACAAGGAAGCAUGUGGAGACAAGUGCAACCACGUGCCGAUACAUCCACUACUUUGUCAACAGCAAAAGUAUCCCAUAUCAGCAGGGUCGAACGUACUCUAGAUUUGAUGGACUUGUUUUGACCCUCAAAUUCUUCAGUCGGCCUUAUACUCUGGCGGAAACAAGAAAACCCUCCAGCCCAGUUCAAGAAUAAGCCUGUGGAAAGUUACUUCUUCAAAAGCAAAAGUAUCUCAUAUCACCUUUUCUCCUUUUCUUCUCUUUAUCCUUCAUGCUACCUGCAAGAUAAGGAGAAGGAUAACAAUCAGCCGGAACUCGAAAUCAAACUUCUGAUCUGGGACUGAUUGCUUGGAACUCUGAUUGCAUACCUUGUCUGUCACCUCUUUCAGCAGAUCCCCUAGCUUGGCGACUUGGUUCGAAGAUGUGACCACGGGACAGAGGUUCAGGGCCGAAGGGGUAGAGGAAGACCUAGGAAAACUUUGGAAGAGACCCUAAGAAAAGACUUAGAGUACUUGGAUCUAACGGAGGGCAUGACACAAAACCGAGCGCAAUGGCGUUCUAGGAUUCAUAUAGCCGACCCCACUUAGUGGGAAAAGGCUUUG
This 40084-nucleotide long non-coding RNA is filed under the name Malus domestica (apple). RNAcentral's name for it is "long non-coding RNA (MDOM_LNC006922)". Lineage: Eukaryota; Viridiplantae; Streptophyta; Magnoliopsida; Rosales; Rosaceae. The record is from RNAcentral.